CCUACGGGGGGCAGCAGUGAGGAAUAUUGGUCAAUGGGCGGAAGCCUGAACCAGCCAAGUCGCGUGAGGGAAUAAGGCCCUACGGAUCGUAAACCUCUUUUGCCGGGGAGCAAGGGCGGGGACGUGUCCCGGCCCGGAGAGUACCCGGAGAAAAAGCAUCGGCUAACUCCGUGCCAGCAGCCGCGGUAAUACGGAGGAUGCGAGCGUUAUCCGGAUUUAUUGGGUUUAAAGGGUGCGCAGGCGGUCUGUUAAGUCAGCGGUCAAAGCCCGGGGCUCAACCCCGGCCCGCCGUUGAAACUGGCAGC
Molecule: ribosomal RNA, 305 nt
Filed under: uncultured bacterium
Lineage: Bacteria
Description: bacterial SSU rRNA
Rfam family: Bacterial small subunit ribosomal RNA
Source: RNAcentral